UGGCGCGUAGCUCAGCGGUAGAGCACCACCUUGACACGGUGGGGGUCGGCGGUUCGAGACCGCCCGCGCCAACCA
This 75-nucleotide transfer RNA is filed under the name Geothrix sp. Its description in RNAcentral is "tRNA-Val". It matches the Rfam family "tRNA". From Rfam's summary of the family: Transfer RNA (tRNA) molecules are approximately 80 nucleotides in length. Their secondary structure includes four short double-helical elements and three loops (D, anti-codon, and T loops). RNAcentral also lists the same sequence under 5 other names. Lineage: Bacteria; Pseudomonadati; Acidobacteriota; Holophagae; Holophagales; Holophagaceae. The record is from RNAcentral.